GCGCGGGACACGAGAAAUCCUGCGUGAAUCUGCCGGGCCCAUCCGGUAAGGCUAAAUACUCCCGAGAGACCGAUAGUGAACCAGUACCGUGAGGGAAAGGUGAAAAGCACCUCGAACAGAGGAGUGAAAUAGUCCCUGAAACCAUGCGCCUACAAGCGGUCGGAGCACAUUUUUGUUGUGUGACGGCGUGCCUUUUGCAUAAUGAACCUACGCGUUACUUUUUCCGGCGAGGUUAAGGGAAUUGAUUCCCGGAUCCGAAGCGAAAGCGAGUCUUAACAGGGCGGUUAGUCGGAAUGAGUAGACGCGAAACCAAGUGAUCUACCCUUGGCCAGGUUGAAGGUCAGGUAACACUGACUGGAGGACCGAACCGAUAAGCGUUGAAAAGCUUCCGGAUGAGCUGAGGGUGGGGGUGAAAGGCUAAUCAAACUUGGAG
This 433-nucleotide ribosomal RNA is filed under the name Fusobacterium necrophorum. Its description in RNAcentral is "partial 23S ribosomal RNA". It matches the Rfam family "Bacterial large subunit ribosomal RNA", at positions 415 to 844 of the family's 2925-position model. The record is from RNAcentral. Lineage: Bacteria; Fusobacteriati; Fusobacteriota; Fusobacteriia; Fusobacteriales; Fusobacteriaceae.